UAGGGAAUCUUCCACAAUGGACGAAAGUCUGAUGGAGCAAUGCCGCGUGAGUGAUGAAGGAUUUCGGUUCGUAAAACUCUGUUGCGAGGGAAGAACAAGUGUAAAGUAACUACUUACACCUUGACGGUACCUCGUUAGAAAGCCACGGCUAACUACGUGCCAGCAGCCGCGGUAAUACGUAGGUGGCAAGCGUUGUCCGGAAUUAUUGGGCGUAAAGCGCACGCAGGCGGCCUUCUAAGUCUGAUGUGAAAUCCCACGGCUUAACCGUGGAAGGUCAUUGGAAACUGGAAGGCUUGAGGAUAGAAGAGGAAAGUGGAAUUCCACGUGUAGCGGUGAAAUGCGUAGAGAUGUGGAGGAACACCAGUGGCGAAGGCGACUUUCUGGUCUAUUACUGACGCUG
RNAcentral lists this ribosomal RNA (400 nucleotides) under uncultured bacterium. RNAcentral describes it as "bacterial SSU rRNA". It matches the Rfam family "Bacterial small subunit ribosomal RNA", at positions 355 to 748 of the family's 1533-position model. The record is from RNAcentral.